RNAcentral lists this long non-coding RNA (1953 nucleotides) under Cyanistes caeruleus (blue tit). RNAcentral's name for it is "lncRNA (ENSCCEG00000015302.1)". The record is from RNAcentral. Lineage: Eukaryota; Metazoa; Chordata; Aves; Passeriformes; Paridae.
CUGGGUAGUAAAAAAAGCCUCCGAGAUUUCUCUUUUAGCACUGACCUUCUGAGCUAUCUAAUGAUGAAGAUAGGAAGAGGCUGCAACCAGACAGUGGAAAAAAAAACCCCUUUUGCUAGCAGGGAAAUGUGUGAGUAAUAUACACACUGUUGGACGGUGGCCAAAUCACUCUAGUAACGGCUGUUAGUUCCCCUUACGAAGAAAAUGAUCAAAUGAGAAAGAGGAGCUGCAGUCGGGUGUCAGAAAUGCUGAGUCGCAACGGGAGAGUGCCGCAUCCGAUGGAAAUUUACCCAGGAGCCAGCGACCUUCACACGCUGGGGACGAGGACUGAGGGCUUGUAGGGAAAUCCUGCCCUCGCUCACCCACCGCUGUACUACCUCCACGUCACCACCCAGGCAGAACACACCCUGGAAAAGCAGACCAGGAGACGAGCUCCAAGACAGAGUGAGCUGCCAGGACAGGCUCUGUGGCGUGAAACAGGGUACUGCUCUCCAUAGUGUGCAAGGAUGUCUGGCCCCACAGCACUGCCCAGUCCUCAGGAUUACUUGCCUCAGGUAAUUAAUUGCUGCUCAUCUGGCUCCUCCCCUGCUGCUUUGGACACACGCACUUGAAAUGAGACAGCUGGGUCCAGUUGACCCAUAUCUGGGGCUUCCACAACAGGAGGCAGCAGGGACCAAAGGUGACUUCAUAACUCCCUGCUUUUAGGGCCGUGCCUUGGAUCGACAGAGCUUCCCCAGUGGCUACAUGCCCUGUAGCCAUUUUCACAUGAUUUCAGGCCCAUAUUGGAAACAGAAUGCAGGAAUACUCUGGCUUCACCCUUGUCAGAGGGUCUCAGGUUUGGGAUAUGACCAGAACAUCUCAUCCUCUCUCCCACAUACCAGGGCAUAAUCAAUGGCUUUCCCUGCAAGUUCUCAGGCUCUCCGUGAAGGACAAUGAGAAGUGGGGGAGGAUAAGCAAUAAUGCCAGAGGACAAGGGAUACAAGACAGUGCCCUGACUUCCAAAGACUUGCUCCUGAUUCACACUGCUACAGCCAAGAGGAGAAGGACUCCACAUUAUUGUUCCCAGGAAUGAAUCCUGAAGGUCUCUUGAUCUGUGAAGCAGCUACAGGGAAAUUCGUCGUAGAAACAGUCCCAUUACUGCCUUUUGUCCGCAUGACUCAUAUUGAUCCUGUUAACUGCGACUAACGUAUUUCCUAAGAUAUACUUUCUUAGCUUUAGGCCAAAACUCUCUGGUCCUGCCUCCUUCUUAUGCACAAGUUUUCCUCUAAUUCCUAUUGAUGCUACCCUGCCUGGCACAGAGUGAACCAUCUCCCUUCAUUCCCACAAGCAAGUGCCAUGCAGCCCUGUGCAGCAGGUAUCAAGAACCUGCUGGUCACACUGCAGUGAGAAACUCAGUCCAGAGGCCCUCAGCUGAGCAGCAGCCAUAGCACAGCUCCAAAGCUAGCUUGUGUAUGUGGUUCCUUUCUGGCCUCUCUUUUCCCCUGGAGGAAGAGGAAAACCUUGGUUUAAAUAUAGCUAGAGUUACCAUGGCUGCCUUGCACAGAAAUCAAUGGAAGGGCAUGAAAUCUAGUCCAGUCCCUGUCAUGGCACUUUUCAGGUUGGAAGUUGCCUUUACCAUUUCCUCCCAUCCUCAGGGCCAGUCCAGCUACCCCCAUUGUCUGCCAAGCACAGCAGCAAGAUUCUUGCCCAGCUGCAAGAAUUUCACCCCUGGACUGGUUUAGAUUUGCACACACACAAGUGCUACUGAUGCACUCAUGGCCUGUCUUCCUCUGUCCUCAUCUUCAAAUGUCAGUCCCAUGGAGGUUCCAGGGCUGACUCACUCCAAGCACAAACUCUGGCCUGCCCAUGACCUGCAUGUCUGAGCAAUUCUCCUUGGCCAGCUUUAUUUCAGACCUUGGCUGCAGGCAGGAAUGAUGUGUCCAGGAAUAAAGCUCAACUCCUUUGUGAUUGACA